This 527-nucleotide ribosomal RNA is filed under the name uncultured bacterium. RNAcentral's name for it is "bacterial SSU rRNA". It matches the Rfam family "Bacterial small subunit ribosomal RNA", at positions 777 to 1304 of the family's 1533-position model. The record is from RNAcentral.
AAUAGAUACCCAGGUAGUCCAUGCCGUAAACGUUGGGAACUAGAUGUAGGGCCUGUUCCACGGGUUCUGUGUCGUAGCUAACGCAUUAAGUUCCCCGCCUGGGGAGUACGGCCGCAAGGCUAAAACUCAAAGGAAUUGACGGGGGCCCGCACAAGCGGCGGAGCAUGCGGAUUAAUUCGAUGCAACGCGAAGAACCUUACCAAGGCUUGACAUGUAGAAGAACACUGUAGAGAUACAGGACUCUUUGGACACUUCUAUACAGGUGGUGCAUGGUUGUCGUCAGCUCGUGUCGUGAGAUGUUCGGUUAAGUCCGGCAACGAGCGCAACCCUCGUCCUAUGUUGCCAGCACGUGAUGGUGGGAACUCAUGGGAUACUGCCGUGGUCAACACGGAGGAAGGUGGGGAUGACGUCAAAUCAUCAUGCCCCUUAUGUCUUGGGCUUCACGCAUGCUACAAUGGCCGGUACAAGGACUGCGAUACCGCAAGGUGGAGCGAAUCCCAAAAGCCGGUCUCAGUUCGGAUUGGGGU